This 497-nucleotide ribosomal RNA is filed under the name uncultured bacterium. RNAcentral's name for it is "partial 16S ribosomal RNA". It matches the Rfam family "Bacterial small subunit ribosomal RNA", at positions 28 to 507 of the family's 1533-position model. The record is from RNAcentral.
GACGAACGCUGGCGGCGUGCCUAAUACAUGCAAGUAGAACGCUGAAGAGAGGAGCUUGCUCUUCUUGGAUGAGUUGCGAACGGGUGAGUAACGCGUAGGUAACCUGCCUUGUAGCGGGGGAUAACUAUUGGAAACGAUAGCUAAUACAGCAUAACAAUGGAUGACACAUGUCAUUUAUUUGAAAGGGGCAAUUGCUCCACUACAAGAUGGACCUGCGUUGUAUUAGCUAGUAGGUGAGGUAAUGGCUCACCUAGGCGACGAUACAUAGCCGACCUGAGAGGGUGAUCGGCCACACUGGGACUGAGACACGGCCCAGACUCCUACGGGAGGCAGCAGUAGGGAAUCUUCGGCAAUGGGGGCAACCCUGACCGAGCAACGCCGCGUGAGUGAAGAAGGUUUUCGGAUCGUAAAGCUCUGUUGUAAGUCAAGAACGGGUGUGAGAGUGGAAAGUUCACACUGUGACGGUAGCUUACCAGAAAGGGACGGCUAACUACGUG